Non-coding RNA from Pseudonaja textilis, 1397 nucleotides. Lineage: Eukaryota; Metazoa; Chordata; Lepidosauria; Squamata; Elapidae. The record is from RefSeq and is a predicted model, not a curated record.
AAUCAGUUCCUUCUUAUGUUUACAUCUUCUCAUUCAACCCAAUCAUCCAAUCUGUUUAUCUUUCAAAGGUGUAUAACCCAUAUAGCUUUGAUUCAACACAUCAACCACUAGCUUUUGUGCCAUUUACUGCAGGACCCAGAAACUGCAUUGGGCAGAACUUUGCCAUGGCAAAGAUAAAGGUAGCCCUGGCACUAACACUGUUUAGGUUUGUGGUGCAGUUGGAUGAGAUCUGUAUGGCGCAAGCCAGAGCAAAUCCUGCAGACAGAGAAUGGGCUGUGGCUGUGAGUGAAACCAAUCCAUGCUGAAUCUUGAUCAGAAGUUCUAUACAGAAGAUUUACAUUUGCUGAUCUACAACCUGGAAUCUAUAUUUUAAUGUGCCAAGAGGAUUUUGGACCAGAGAUGCUUUUUGCUUCAAGCUUUGUAGAAGGCAGGAUAGAUUGUUAUUUUGCACACAUCUUUCCAUGUCUGUCUAUGUCUCCUAGUCUAUUAAUUGUUGCUUAGCUCUAGUUUUUUUGCUACUAUGAAGAUCUCCAAGAGAUAUUCUAAAUUACAGCCAUAUGAAAUAAAUUCUUGGCUUGGUUUUAAAUAUUUAGGUAAUGGUAUUUCUAUAGGGUCAAGCUUCAAGGUUUUCAAAAAAAGAUUGGACAGUCAUUUAGAAUUGUCUAUGAUGCAAUAUAGUCUCCUGCCUUGGCAGGGGUUGGACUUGAAGAUCUCCAAGGUUCUUUCCAGCCUUAUGAUUUUAUAAUUCUAAGCUAUUCAAUGACAACUGUCUGCAAAAUUGUAGCCCAAAACUUCCAGCGCAAGAACAAAUGUAUUCUGAAUAUUCCAAAUAUCAUGUCUGUUGGCUUUCAAUGCUGUUUUUUUUAUGUACUGCUAUUAUCAUACUAUCCCUUCCAAACGGAAUUUCUAAUCCUUUCUAACAAAAGCAAUUUCCAUUCAGGAAAAUCUUCAUUGUGAGGAAAGUAUAAGGAAAGAGUAUUAAAUAUGUUCACCACCUUGAGUUAUUGUAAAAAUAAUAAAGGUGGGAUACAAAUACAUAAACAAAUAAACAAAGUUUCAUUCAGGUGUGAUGAGACAACCCAUUUUAGCUUAGUUUAAUUAAUAUUUUAUUCAUGGAUUGAUAACCCAUUUUUAAUCAUAUAUUGUUUUUGUUUAGCACAUAGAAAUAACUAGAUUGCUUUUUCCUAUUGGAAGUGCCUUGAUCAUUGGUUGAUUUGCUAUUUAGGCCAUAGUAAUAGAUGAAAACCAGGCCACCUGUUUUCUUCCCUUGCAAUACCUACUCACCAAGGGGAUUGAUGAGACUAGGUACCAAGCUUUUAGUGUAUUAUGUUAUUGAUAGCACAUCUUGUAACUUUACUUGAAUUAGGUUACAAUGACUAAUAAAAAUGUAUGCAUGA